ACCCAAGCUACUAAGAGCCAACGGUGAAUGCCUUGGCACUGACUACCGAUGAAGGUCGUGAGAGGCUGCGAUAAGCCGCGGGGAGCUGCCGACUAAGCUUCGAUCCGCGGAUGACCGAAUGGGGAAACCUGGCACUCGUAAUGGAGUGUCACUGCCGUUUGAACACAUAGAACGGCCAGAGGGAACCGGGUGAACUGAAACAUCUAAGUAACCCGAGGAAAGGAAAGCAACAGCGACUCCCUGAGUAGCGGCGAGCGAAACGGGAAGAGCCUAAACUCAGGUGGUGCAAAGCCUGGCGGCGUUGCCAUCUGGGGGUUGAGGGAACCGAUUGGGAGAGCGCCAGAUCUCCCGCAGAGUUACAAAGACAGUGGGUAGUGGAAUCGCUCUGGAAAGGCGAGCCACAGAGGGUAAAAGCCCCGUACACGAAACUCAUCUGUCCUCUGAUCGUGUCUCCCGAGUAGCGCCGGAUCCGGGAAAGCCGGCGUGAAUCUGCGAGGACCACCUCGCAAGGCUAAGCAUAAGUCAGUGACCGAUAGUGAACUAGUACCGUGAGGGAAAGGUGAAAAGCACCCCGGGAGGGGAGUGAAAUAGUACCUGAAACCGUUGGUUUACAAGCAGUCAGAGUGUCGCCUCGAAUGCUUCGGCGUUUGAGGUCACGAUGGCGUGCCUUUUGAAGAAUGAGCCUGCGAGUUAUGGUGUGUGGCAAGGUUAACCCGUGAGGGGAAGCCGGAGCGAAAGCGAGUCUGAACAGGGCGUUCAGUCGCAUGCUGUAGACCCGAAGCCGAGUGAUCUAGCCAUGGGCAGUGUGAAGCGGGGGUAAGACCCCGUGGAGGCGCGAACCCACUUCGGUUGAAAACGGAGGGGAUGACCUGUGGCUAGGGGUGAAAGGCCAAUCAAACUCGGUGAUAGCUGGUUCUCCGCGAAAUGUAUUUAGGUGCAGCGUCGCAUGUUCAGCCGUGGAGGUAGAGCACUGGAUGGGCUAGGGGCCCCACAAGGUUACUGACCCCAACCAAACUCCGAAUGCCACGGUUCCAGAGUGCGGCAGUGAGUCCUCGGGGGAUGAGCUUCGAUGGACAAAAGGGAAACAGCCCAGACCGCCAGUUAAGGCCCCUAAUUCUGUACUAAGUGGUAAACGAUGUGGGAUUGCCCAGACAACCAGGAGGUUGGCUUAGAAGCAGCCACCCUUUAAAGAGUGCGUAACAGCUCACUGGUCGAGUGGCCCUGCGCGGAUAAUGUAACGGGGCUUAAGUACAGAGCCGAAACUGCGGAUGUCUGCGUCUUUGACGCAGGCGUGGUAGCGGAGCGUCGAUCUCGGAGCGAAGCGUCGGUGUGAACCGGCGUGGACCGUGGUCGAGUGCGAAUGCAGGUAUGAGUAGCGAAAGAGGGGUGAGAAACCCCUCCACCGGAAGUCCAAGGGUUCCUGGGGAAGGCUAAUCCUCCCAGGGUAAGUCGGGAGCUAAGGCGAGGCCGACAGGCGUAGUCGAUGCACAACCGGUUGAUAUUCCGGUACCACCAAGUGCGCGUCCAUGCAAAAGCGGGAUUGCUAAGAGGAUGCCUUGCGCCCCAUGAAGGGGCAAUAGGACGAAUCGACCCAUCCCGUGGCUGCAAGCAAUGCGGGGACACAGAAAGGUAGGUGAGCCCAGGCGAUGGUAGUCCUGGGGUAAGCGUGUAGGAGGAGGACCAGGCAAGUCCGGGCCUCAUUUCACUCCGAGACGCGAUGCCGAACCGCUAUAGGUGAAGUCACUGAUCCUAUGCUGUCAAGAAAAGCCGCUAGCGAGCUCACUCGGUGCCCGUACCCCAAACCAACUCAGGUGGACAGGUAGAGAAUACCAAGGUGAUUGGGUGAACUAUGGUUAAGGAACUCGGCAAAUUACGUCCGUAACUUCGGGAGAAGGACGACUCCAAUAGGGUGACAGCCUUCACGGCUUCAGCCCGAAGGAGUGGCACAAACCAGAGGGAAGCGACUGUUUACUAAAAACACAGCAGCGUGCUAAGCCGCAAGGCGAUGUAUACGCUGUGACGCCUGCCCGGUGCUGGAAGGUUACGGGGAAAGGUUAGCCUUCGGGCGAAGCUUUGAACCUAAGCCCCAGUAAACGGCGGCCGUAACUAUAACGGUCCUAAGGUAGCGAAAUUCCUUGUCGGGUAAGUUCCGACCUGCACGAAUGGCGUAACGACUUCCCUACUGUCUCAACCAUAGACCCAGCGAAAUUGAAGUACGAGUAAAGAUGCUCGUUAGCUGCAGAAGGACGGAAAGACCCCGUGCACCUUUACUACAGUUUGGUAUUGGUUUCUGGUCUAGUUUGUGUAGGAUAGGUGGGAGACUUUGAAGCGACAGCGCUAGCUGUCGUGGAGUCAACCUUGAAAUACCACCCUUUCUAUGCUGGGAAUCUAACCUAGGUCCGUGAUCCGGAUUAGGAACAGUGCCAGAUGGGUAGUUUGACUGGGGCGGUCGCCUCCUAAAAGGUAACGGAGGCGCCCAAAGGUUCCCUCAGCCUGGUCGGCCAUCAGGCGUUGAGUGCAAUGACACAAGGGAGCUUGACUGCGAGACGUACAUGUCGAGCAGGUACGAAAGUAGGGCAUAGUGAUCCGGCGGUUGCGUGUGGAAGCGCCGUCGCUCAACGGAUAAAAGGUACGCCGGGGAUAACAGGCUCAUCUUCCCCAAGAGUCCAUAUCGACGGGAAGGUUUGGCACCUCGAUGUCGGCUCAUCGCAUCCUGGGGCUGAAGCAGGUCCCAAGGGUUGGGCUGUUCGCCCAUUAAAGCGGUACGCGAGCUGGGUUUAGAACGUCGUGAGACAGUUCGGUCCCUAUCCUCUGCAGCCGGAAGAGACUUGAGGAAAGCUGUCCCUAGUACGAGAGGACCGGGACGGACGCAGCUCUCGUGUGCCAGUUGUUCCGCCAGGAGCAUGGCUGGUUGGCGACCUGCGGAAGGGAUAACCGCUGAAAGCAUCUAAGCGGGAAGCCUGUUUCAAGAUGAGGUCUCUCACCGGGUAACCGGGUAAGGCCCGUGGUAGAACACCACGUUGAUAGGCCGGAAGUGUAAGCACGGUGACGUGUUCAGCUGACCGGUACUAAUUGGCCGAGGGCUUGGUUCA
Molecule: ribosomal RNA, 3092 nt
Filed under: Acidimicrobiaceae bacterium
Lineage: Bacteria; Bacillati; Actinomycetota; Acidimicrobiia; Acidimicrobiales; Acidimicrobiaceae
Description: 23S ribosomal RNA
Rfam family: Bacterial large subunit ribosomal RNA
Source: RNAcentral